GAUGAACGCUGGCGGCGUGCCUAAUACAUGCAAGUCGAGCGAACGGACGAGAAGCUUGCUUCUCUGAUGUUAGCGGCGGACGGGUGAGUAACACGUGGAUAACCUACCUAUAAGACUGGGAUAACUUCGGGAAACCGGAGCUAAUACCGGAUGAUAUUUUGAACCGCAUGGUUCAAAAGUGAGAGACGGUCUUGCUGUCACUUAUAGAUGGAUCCGCGCUGCAUUAGCUAGUUGGUAAGGUAACGGCUUACCAAGGCAACGAUGCAUAGCCGACCUGAGAGGGUGAUCGGCCACACUGGAACUGAGACACGGUCCAGACUCCUACGGGAGUCAGCAGUAGGGAAUCUUCCGCAAUGGGCGAAAGCCUGACGGAGCAACGCCGCGUGAGUGAUGAAGGUCUUCGGAUCGUAAAACUCUGUUAUUAGGGAAGAACAUAUGUGUAAGUAACUGUGCACAUCUUGACGGUACCUAAUCAGAAAGCCACGGCUAACUACGUG
RNAcentral lists this ribosomal RNA (497 nucleotides) under uncultured bacterium. Its description in RNAcentral is "partial 16S ribosomal RNA". It matches the Rfam family "Bacterial small subunit ribosomal RNA", at positions 28 to 507 of the family's 1533-position model. The record is from RNAcentral.